RNAcentral lists this ribosomal RNA (159 nucleotides) under uncultured Tomentella. RNAcentral's name for it is "5.8S ribosomal RNA". It matches the Rfam family "5.8S ribosomal RNA". From Rfam's summary of the family: 5.8S ribosomal RNA (5.8S rRNA) is a component of the large subunit of the eukaryotic ribosome. It is transcribed by RNA polymerase I as part of the 45S precursor that also contains 18S and 28S rRNA. Functionally, it is thought that 5.8S rRNA may be involved in ribosome translocation. The record is from RNAcentral. Lineage: Eukaryota; Fungi; Basidiomycota; Agaricomycetes; Thelephorales; Thelephoraceae.
AAUACAACUUUCAGCAACGGAUCUCUUGGCUCUCGCAUCGAUGAAGAACGCAGCGAAAUGCGAUAAGUAAUGUGAAUUGCAGAAUUCAGUGAAUCAUCGAAUCUUUGAACGCACCUUGCGCCCUUUGGCUAUUCCGAAGGGCAUGCCUGUUUGAGUAUC